AACUGCUACAUCUCUAAUGAAAACUACUUUUCCUAACUAUUCAUCCAUUUUAACUACUGAACUACCUUUCUAACAGUCAUCUAUCCCUGUUUACACUAUAAACUAAGUAUCUACAAAUCAGCAAAUAACUACUUAUUCUACACUCUCCAUAAUAUUUACUGUAGAAUAUAGUAAAUAUUAUAGCUACAAUAUUUAGAGUCUUGUGAAGAAGUACUGUUUAUCCUCUUUUCUUUUUCUCUUCUUGUAUACAAGACACAACCAGAUCAAUAGAUUUUUAUGUGUGAAGCUCUCUUUCCUUAAAAACCCUCUUGUGUAUAUGACUUUCUACUACUCUUGUGUGUGUGUGUAUGACUUACUAUUACUCUUGUGUCUUUCUAAACAUUCUCAAUACCAUGGAUUACCUAAAUAACUUCUUAGUAUUUGAUAACUAAAGUGUCAUUUAAUAUAAACUCCACUUGUUGAUAUAAUGUUCAUAACCAAUAAAUGUAUCUUUAACCAACAAUACAUUAUUAUUUCUUACAUAAGAAAUGCAUACAAAUGUGGAUCCUAGCAAAAUUUUGAUU
RNAcentral lists this long non-coding RNA (563 nucleotides) under Physcomitrium patens. Its description in RNAcentral is "long non-coding RNA (PPAT_LNC010462)". Lineage: Eukaryota; Viridiplantae; Streptophyta; Bryopsida; Funariales; Funariaceae. The record is from RNAcentral.